RNAcentral lists this small nucleolar RNA (322 nucleotides) under Chlamydotis macqueenii (Macqueen's bustard). Lineage: Eukaryota; Metazoa; Chordata; Aves; Otidiformes; Otididae. The record is from RNAcentral.
GCUCAGUGAUGAUAUAAAGGCUAAUGUGACUUGACUAGCUGGGUUGCACCCUCAGCCCAUUCCAGGAAUACAGGCCUGUAAUCUUGGUGGACAAUGCAGAGCUGUGCGUGUUUGCUGUAAGGGCGGGCCGACAGAAAAUCCCCUUCCCGUGUCCCUGGAAAAUACAUCUUUGGGAUGCUUCAGCUCUGAGGGAGUGUUUCUUUGAGCUGAUGGGGGGCAGUGGGGAUAGGAUAGGCUAGCGCGUCCAAGGUUUGGGUUGCAGGGGGUAGCCCACAUUACAGCUGGCGAGAUGUGAGCACACGUCUUUGGUAAUCUGAUGACU